CACUACGAAGCUUAGAGCGUUAACCUUUUAAGUUAAAGUUAGAGAUGAUUAAUCUCCGUAGUGA
Molecule: transfer RNA, 64 nt
Filed under: Microtus obscurus (Altai voie)
Lineage: Eukaryota; Metazoa; Chordata; Mammalia; Rodentia; Cricetidae
Description: tRNA-Lys
Source: RNAcentral